UACGUAGGGCGCAAGCGUUAUCCGGAAUUAUUGGGCGUAAAGAGCUCGUAGGCGGUUUGUCGCGUCUGCCGUGAAAGUCCGGGGCUCAACUCCGGAUCUGCGGUGGGUACGGGCAGACUAGAGUGAUGUAGGGGAGACUGGAAUUCCUGGUGUAGCGGUGAAAUGCGCAGAUAUCAGGAGGAACACCGAUGGCGAAGGCAGGUCUCUGGGCAUUAACUGACGCUGAUGCACGAAAGCUAGGGGAGCAAACAGG
This 253-nucleotide ribosomal RNA is filed under the name uncultured bacterium. Its description in RNAcentral is "partial 16S ribosomal RNA". It matches the Rfam family "Bacterial small subunit ribosomal RNA", at positions 524 to 776 of the family's 1533-position model. The record is from RNAcentral.